This 295-nucleotide signal recognition particle RNA is filed under the name Aotus nancymaae (Ma's night monkey). Its description in RNAcentral is "Metazoan signal recognition particle RNA (ENSANAG00000008398.1)". It matches the Rfam family "Metazoan signal recognition particle RNA". Rfam says of the family: The signal recognition particle (SRP) is a universally conserved ribonucleoprotein. It is involved in the co-translational targeting of proteins to membranes. The eukaryotic SRP consists of a 300-nucleotide 7S RNA and six proteins: SRPs 72, 68, 54, 19, 14, and 9. The record is from RNAcentral. Lineage: Eukaryota; Metazoa; Chordata; Mammalia; Primates; Aotidae.
GCCAAGUGCAGUGGCGCGUGCCUGCAGUCCCAGCUACUCAGGAGGCUGAGGUGGGAGAAUCGCUUCAGCCCAGGAGUUCUGGGCUGUAUGCGCUAUGCCAAUCGGGUGCCCCCACUAAGUUUUGCAUCAAUAUGGUGACGUCCCAGCAGGAGACCACCAGGUUGCCUAAGGAGGGGUGAACUGACCCAGGUCAGAAACAGAGCAGGUCAAAACUCCCGUGCUGAUCAGUAGUGGGAUCGCGCCUGUGAAUAGCCACUGCACUCCAGCCUGGGCAACAUGACAAUACUCCGUCCCU